GAUGAACGCUAGCGGAGGCUUAACACAUGCAAGUCGAGGGGCAGCAUAGGGUAGCAAUACUCUGAUGGCGACCGGCAAACGGGUGAGUAACGCGUAUGCAACCUACCCUGUACAGGGGGAUAACCCGGAGAAAUUCGGACUAAUAUCCCGUAAUAAUAUCCGGAGGCAUCUUUGGAUAUUUAAAGUUCCGACGGUACGGGAUGGGCAUGCGUAACAUUAACUGGUUGGUAAGGUAACGGCUUACCAAGGCUAUGAUGUUUAGGGGUCCUGAGAGGGUGGUCCCCCACACUGGUACUGAGACACGGACCAGACUCCUACGGGAGGCAGCAGUGAGGAAUAUUGGUCAAUGGGCGCAAGCCUGAACCAGCCAUCCCGCGUGCAGGAAGACGGCCCUAUGGGUUGUAAACUGCUUUUCCAGGGAGAGAAACUUACGCACGUGUUGCGUGACUGACGGUACCCUGGGAAUAAGCAUCGGCUAACUCCGUGCCAGCAGCCGACGGUAAAACGUAGCGUG
Molecule: ribosomal RNA, 514 nt
Filed under: uncultured bacterium
Lineage: Bacteria
Description: bacterial SSU rRNA
Rfam family: Bacterial small subunit ribosomal RNA
Source: RNAcentral